AUUGGACCUGGCUCAAAAAGAGUUUGUGAUGGCAAGGAGGCUCAAUUAGAUAAAACUAAUAAAGAAUGGAGUAUGAACAUAAAUGUCUUUAUCCAAAAAGGUCACCCCCUAUAUGAUGUAGAAGCAACACUGUAGCCAAAAGGUCAAUAAUUAUGAGUUCAUAAUCCAAUAAACAAGCCAGUGGACAAGAAUCCAGAAUUCAAACACAG
Molecule: non-coding RNA, 209 nt
Organism: Pelobates cultripes (western spadefoot toad)
Lineage: Eukaryota; Metazoa; Chordata; Amphibia; Anura; Pelobatidae
Source: the annotation of a GenBank genome assembly